This 22-nucleotide unclassified non-coding RNA is filed under the name Chlamydomonas reinhardtii. Its description in RNAcentral is "small RNA Cre_3714". Lineage: Eukaryota; Viridiplantae; Chlorophyta; Chlorophyceae; Chlamydomonadales; Chlamydomonadaceae. The record is from RNAcentral.
UUAAGCUCGCAGCAGUGUCAGG